RNAcentral lists this ribosomal RNA (363 nucleotides) under uncultured Desulfuromonas sp. RNAcentral's name for it is "bacterial SSU rRNA". It matches the Rfam family "Bacterial small subunit ribosomal RNA", at positions 1025 to 1382 of the family's 1533-position model. Lineage: Bacteria; Pseudomonadati; Thermodesulfobacteriota; Desulfuromonadia; Desulfuromonadales; Desulfuromonadaceae. The record is from RNAcentral.
GGAUCGGUGACAGGUGCUGCAUGGCUGUCGUCAGCUCGUGUCGUGAGAUUGUUCGGGGUUAAGUCCCCGGCAACGAGCCGCAACCCUUGUCCUUAGUUGCCAGCAGUUCAGUUGGGCACUCUAAGGAGACUGCCGGUGUUAAACCGGAGGAAGUGGGGAUGACGUCAAGUCCUCAUGGCCCUUAUGUCCAGGGCUACACACGUGCUACAAUGGCCGGUACAAAGGGCUGCAAGACCGUGAGGUUGAGCGAAUCCCAGAAAGCCGGUCUCAGUUCGGAUUGGAGUCUGCAACUCGACUCCAUGAAGUUGGAAUCGCUAGUAAUCGCGGAUCAGCAUGCCGCGGUCGAAUACGUUCCCGGGCCUU